ACUUUGAUUUACCAAUUGGCUGUAUACCAUAUUUAUUGUGUAUUAAUAUAUUUAGUUAGUUAUAUGUUUAUUAAUUGAACUAUUCUUUCUAUUAUCCUUUUUAAUGAAUAUCCAUUUAUUAUGAUGUAUAAUUAUACUACAUUCUUUUCCAGUUUCAUGUGGUUAUGUUACGCAACUUUUAUUGCACUUUGCUUGCCUUAUUCGUUUGCAUAGAUUAUAUCCCCAUUUGACUGAUUUAUAAUUAUAUGUUCUUAUUGUUCAUUUAUAAAUCAAAGACACUAGCGAAGAUGACAGAAAGAAAAUCACCUUUCAUUUGCUAUAAAUUGAUUAUAUCUUAUUAUACAUGAUUUAUUUGCUUGAUAGGUGCCUAUGUUUGUUCCAGUCACAUUUGUAGUCAUCACGUUAUUACUGGUUGCCAUGUCGUUUUAUUCUUCACCAAGAGAGUGUGUGAUUGGUUUUCUGAUCCUCAUUUCCGGUAUACCCGUUUAUUUAGUUGGGGUACGUUGGAAAAAUAAACCGCAUUAUAUUGCACAAGGAAUGGAGAACAUGACCAUUUUCUUACAAAAACUUUUCCUGGUGGUUCAACAAGAAACAAAAACAUACUAAUGUGGAAUCGAUACUACAAGAUACUAGACUUGCCUUGGAUUUUUUUAUAUACUAUGAAUCAUUCGUUUGCAUGUUAAUAAAUGUGCGAGUGCGAGCGAGGCCAGUUUUACACAGGUUGCUGCGAACAUUGAAAUUAUGAGGUGUUUUAUAGAUCACACGCCACUGAUAUAAAAGCAGUAUUCGGAACAUUUCUUAAGUAAUGUAAAAAAACCGUAUGCAAAUUAAAUGAUGACAAAUGAAAGAAAAUGCAUGAUAAUAUAUAUACUGAAUGACGUGAACCAACUGCCAAUUAUUAUUAAAUAUAAUUAAUUACAUUUUAAUGAAUUGUAUUUUAUUGAGUUAUAUAGAUGUUAUAUGGUAUAUUUAGGAGGUGUUGUAAAUAGUAAACUCAGAUAUAAAAAAAAAA
Long non-coding RNA from Anneissia japonica, 1012 nucleotides. RefSeq lists it as uncharacterized. The transcript has 2 exons. NCBI's taxonomy places the organism in Eukaryota, Metazoa, Echinodermata, Crinoidea, Comatulida, Comatulidae. The record is from RefSeq and is a predicted model, not a curated record.